ACGGGGGGUGCAAGCGUUAUUCGGAAUUAUUGGGCGUAAAGGGCGCGUAGGCGGUCCUGUUAGUCAGAUGUGAAAGCCCGGGGCUCAACCCCGGAAGUGCAUUUGAAACGGCAGGACUUGAGUAUGGGAGAGGGAAGUGGAAUUCCUGGUGUAGAGGUGAAAUUCGUAGAUAUCAUGAGGAACAUCUGUGGCGAAGGCGACUUCCUGGACCAAUACUGACGCUGAGGCGCGAAGGCGUGGGUAGCAAACAGG
RNAcentral lists this ribosomal RNA (252 nucleotides) under uncultured bacterium. RNAcentral's name for it is "partial 16S ribosomal RNA". It matches the Rfam family "Bacterial small subunit ribosomal RNA", at positions 525 to 776 of the family's 1533-position model. The record is from RNAcentral.